GCCGGGCGUGGUGGUGCAUGCUUAAAGUCCCAGCUACUCGGGAGGCUGAGGUGGGAGGAUCGCUUGAGCCCAGGAGUUCUGGGCUGUAGUGCACUAUGCCACACUAAGUUCAGCAUCAAUACGGUGACCCCUUGGGAGCAGGGGACCACCAGGUUGCCUAAGGAGGGGUGAACCGGCCCAGGUUGGAAACAGAGCAGAUCAAAACUCCCGUGCUGAUCAGUAGUGGGAUCACGCCUGUGAAUAGUCACUGCACUCCAGCCUGAGCAACACGGCAAGAUGCUGUCUCU
RNAcentral lists this signal recognition particle RNA (287 nucleotides) under Saimiri boliviensis boliviensis (Bolivian squirrel monkey). Its description in RNAcentral is "Metazoan signal recognition particle RNA (ENSSBOG00000004833.1)". It matches the Rfam family "Metazoan signal recognition particle RNA". Rfam says of the family: The signal recognition particle (SRP) is a universally conserved ribonucleoprotein. Lineage: Eukaryota; Metazoa; Chordata; Mammalia; Primates; Cebidae. The record is from RNAcentral.